AGAGUUUGAUCCUGGCUCAGAACGAACGCUGGCGGCAGGCCUAACACAUGCAAGUCGAGCGCCCGCAAGGGAGCGGCAGACGGGUGAGUAACGCGUGGGAACGUGCCCUUUGGUUCGGAAUAUUCCCGGGAAACUGGGAGCAAAACCGGAUAAGCCCUUCGGGGGAAAGUUUACGCCAAAGGAUCGGCCCGCGUUAGAUUAGGUAGUUGGUGGGGUAACGGCCUACCAAGCCUACGAUCUAUAGCUGAUCUGAGAGGAUGAUCAGCCACACUGGGACUGAGACACGGCCCAGACUCCCACGGGAGGCAGCAGUGGGGAAUCUUGGACAAUGGGCGCAAGCCUGAUCCAGCCAUGCCGCGUGGAUGACUGAAGGCCCUAGGGUUGUAAAGUCCUUUCGACGGGGACGAUAAUGACGGUACCCGUAGAAGAAGCCCCGGCUAACUUCGUGCCAGCAGCCGCGGUAAUACGAAGGGGGCUAGCGUUGUUCGGAUUUACUGGGCGUAAAGGGCGCGUAGGCGGAUUUUUAAGUCGGGGGUGAAAUCCCGGAGCUCAACUCCGGAACUGCCUUCGAUACUGAAAGUCUGGAGCACGGUAGAGGUGAGUGGAAUUCCGAGUGUAGCGGUGAAAUGCGUAGA
This 635-nucleotide ribosomal RNA is filed under the name uncultured bacterium. RNAcentral describes it as "bacterial SSU rRNA". It matches the Rfam family "Bacterial small subunit ribosomal RNA", at positions 8 to 694 of the family's 1533-position model. The record is from RNAcentral.